AUACGGAGGGUGCGAGCGUUAAUCGGAAUUACGGGGCGUAAAGGGUGCGUAGGCGGCUUGAUAAGUCGGAUGUGAAAGCCCCGGGCUUAACCUGGGAAUUGCAUUCGAUACUGUCAGGCUAGAGUAUGUCAGAGGUUGGCGGAAUUCCUAGUGUAGCGGUGAAAUGCGUAGAUAUCAGGAGGAACACCAGUGGCGAAGGCGGCUAACUGGGGCAAUACUGACGCUGAGGCACGAAAGCGUGGGGAGCAAACAGGAUUAGAAACCCUAGUAGUCC
RNAcentral lists this ribosomal RNA (274 nucleotides) under uncultured bacterium. Its description in RNAcentral is "partial 16S ribosomal RNA". It matches the Rfam family "Bacterial small subunit ribosomal RNA", at positions 523 to 796 of the family's 1533-position model. The record is from RNAcentral.